UACGUAGGGGGCAAGCGUUGUCCGGAUUUAUUGGGCGUAAAGAGCGUGUAGGCGGCCAGACAAGUCCGUUGUGAAAACUCGAGGCUCAACCUCGAGACGCCGAUGGAAACCGUCUGGCUAGAGUCCGGAAGAGGAGAGUGGAAUUCCUGGUGUAGCGGUGAAAUGCGCAGAUAUCAGGAAGAACACCCGUGGCUAAGGCGGCUCUCUAGUACGGUACUGACGCUGAGACGCGAAAGCGUGGGGAGCGAACAGG
RNAcentral lists this ribosomal RNA (253 nucleotides) under uncultured bacterium. RNAcentral's name for it is "partial 16S ribosomal RNA". It matches the Rfam family "Bacterial small subunit ribosomal RNA", at positions 524 to 776 of the family's 1533-position model. The record is from RNAcentral.